Molecule: ribosomal RNA, 427 nt
Filed under: uncultured bacterium
Lineage: Bacteria
Description: bacterial SSU rRNA
Rfam family: Bacterial small subunit ribosomal RNA
Source: RNAcentral
UGGGGAAUUUUGGACAAUGGGGGCAACCCUGAUCCAGCCAUCCCGCGUGUGCGAUGAAGGCCUUCGGGUUGUAAAGCACUUUUGGCAGGGAAGAAAAGGCGCAGGUUAAUACCCUGUGCUGCUGACGGUACCUGCAGAAUAAGCACCGGCUAACUACGUGCCAGCAGCCGCGGUAAUACGUAGGGUGCAAGCGUUAAUCGGAAUUACUGGGCGUAAAGCGUGCGUAGGCGGUUUGGCAAGAAAGAUGUGAAAUCCCAGGGCUCAACCCUGGAACUGCCUUUGAUACUGGGUGUCUUGAGUACGAGAGAGGUGAGUGGAAUUCCGAGUGUAGAGGUGAAAUUCGUAGAUAUUCGGAAGAACACCAGUGGCGAAGGCGGCUCACUGGCUCGUAACUGACGCUGAGGUGCGAAAGCGUGGGGAGCAAACA